This is a non-coding RNA of Chelmon rostratus (copperband butterflyfish), 377 nucleotides long. NCBI's taxonomy places the organism in Eukaryota, Metazoa, Chordata, Actinopteri, Chaetodontiformes, Chaetodontidae. The record is from the annotation of a RefSeq genome assembly.
ACAUGACUCUGAUCGGCGUCCUCAUCUGGACUCUCCUCUGCUGCUGCUUCACAGAGUCCAGAGGCCAGAUCACAGUGACUCAGCCUGGAGCAGUGAGGUCUGCUCUGGGAGAGUCCAUCACCAUCAACUGUAAGACCAGUCCAGAGGUUUAUGAUGGGUACUAUUUGAACUGGUACCAAAAGAAAGAUGGAGAAGCUCCUAAACUGCUCAUUUACUAUGCUGACACUCGAGAAUCAGGGAUUCCAGAUCGUUUUACAGGCAGUGGAUCAAACACUGACUUCACUCUGACCAUCAGUGGAGUCCAGACUGAAGAUGCAGCAGUUUACUACUGUCAGAGUUUUCAUGUUAUCAACAGUCAGUAUGUGUUCACACAGUGA